Molecule: long non-coding RNA, 1009 nt
Organism: Poecilia latipinna (sailfin molly)
Lineage: Eukaryota; Metazoa; Chordata; Actinopteri; Cyprinodontiformes; Poeciliidae
Exons: 2
Source: RefSeq, a predicted model, not a curated record
AAAUCCCCGUGAUUAAAAAGAAAAAACAGAGCAACAGAAAGAAGACCAGAAAGAACUUUGUGAUCCGAUACGUGUGAACAACGACCACUUUCCUAUUAAUUUUCAUUGAGCAACUUAUUUUGCAGGUCAGAUAUAAAACUCCCUUUUGACCAUAUCAAUUAACAAAUAUAAAUACAAUCUUCCAUAAAUCAAAUAUUACUGGGCAACAUUUUUUUUUCUUUGUGAAAUUUAUCUUGGAUCAUGUUUUAUUUAAUUUAUUUUUUUUACUUCAUUCAUCAGUUUUAAGAAGUUAAGCACUGCAAAAUGUAAAAUUCACUUCAUCCUAUCAUCCGCCGAAAUGAGCAGAAAAUCAAUCUGUCAAAAGACGGCUUUGACGGACAUCAAAUUCAAAGCAACUCACAAUUUAAGCCUAUCUACUGCACCUCUACUGAAAUAAAAACAUCUCUAGCAUCUCUGAGAAUCACCAAUCUGCGCAUUGCUCCACGAUUCUCCCUCCGUCUUUAUCCCAGCCUAUCGCCUCUGAGCAAAAGGCCUCUCUCCUCCUCCUCUCUAUCAAUCUGGAGCUGUGGUUCUGGUUCGUUUCUGCUUCUCCCUUUCCUUCCUUCCCCUCCUGCCAUCAUGCAUCCUUAACUCGGCUCGGCAGAUGGCUGCAGCAUCAGCACCUCCUCACCAGGACGAGAGGAAGGGAGACGACAAAACAAGAGGGAAAAGGGGGCGCAAGAGGAGAACCUCAUAAAGCAAAGAGAGGAGGAGCAGGAGGGAAGCAAAACAGACUCUGUGGUGAUGUGCAUGUCAGGAGCUGAAAAAAACCCCCGUCUGCUUAUUCCACCUGGAGACAGCUGGCUGUUUAAAGUACAACACAAAACCCAAACAAAGUGCAGGUAAGGGGCACUUAAGAAGCAUUUCCAAGGGGUACUUUAUCCUUUUGAGCUUUUAACCUUUGCUUGUUAUGAAACAUGCUGGAGUUGGUUGUGCGUUCUCUAGAGAAUAAAACAAACAAAAAAAUCCC